Molecule: ribosomal RNA, 425 nt
Filed under: uncultured bacterium
Lineage: Bacteria
Description: partial 16S ribosomal RNA
Rfam family: Bacterial small subunit ribosomal RNA
Source: RNAcentral
GUGGGGAAUAUUGGACAAUGGGCGCAAGCCUGAUCCAGCCAUGCCGCGUGAGUGAUGAAGGCCCUAGGGUUGUAAAGCUCUUUCACCGGAGAAGAUAAUGACGGUAUCCGGAGAAGAAGCCCCGGCUAACUUCGUGCCAGCAGCCGCGGUAAUACGAAGGGGGCUAGCGUUGUUCGGAAUUACUGGGCGUAAAGCGCACGUAGGCGGAUAUUUAAGUCAGGGGUGAAAUCCCGGAGCUCAACUCCGGAACUGCCUUUGAUACUGGGUAUCUCGAGUAUGGAAGAGGUGAGUGGAAUUCCGAGUGUAGAGGUGAAAUUCGUAGAUAUUCGGAGGAACACCAGUGGCGAAGGCGGCUCACUGGUCCAUUACUGACGCUGAGGUGCGAAAGCGUGGGGAGCAAACAGGAUUAGAAACCCCUGUAGUCC